This 497-nucleotide ribosomal RNA is filed under the name uncultured bacterium. Its description in RNAcentral is "partial 16S ribosomal RNA". It matches the Rfam family "Bacterial small subunit ribosomal RNA", at positions 28 to 507 of the family's 1533-position model. The record is from RNAcentral.
GACGAACGCUGGCGGCGUGCCUAAUACAUGCAAGUAGAACGCUGAAGAGAGGAGCUUGCUCUUCUUGGAUGAGUUGCGAACGGGUGAGUAACGCGUAGGUAACCUGCCUUGUAGCGGGGGAUAACUAUUGGAAACGAUAGCUAAUACCGCAUAACAGUGGAUGACACAUGUCAUUUAUUUGAAAGGGGCAAUUGCUCCACUACAAGAUGGACCUGCGUUGUAUUAGCUAGUAGGUGAGGUAAUGGCUCACCUAGGCGACGAUACAUAGCCGACCUGAGAGGGUGAUCGGCCACACUGGGACUGAGACACGGCCCAGACUCCUACGGGAGGCAGCAGUAGGGAAUCUUCGGCAAUGGGGGCAACCCUGACCGAGCAACGCCGCGUGAGUGAAGAAGGUUUUCGGAUCGUAAAGCUCUGUUGUAAGUCAAGAACGGGUGUGAGAGUGGAAAGUUCACACUGUGACGGUAGCUUACCAGAAAGGGACGGCUAACUACGUG